RNAcentral lists this ribosomal RNA (253 nucleotides) under uncultured bacterium. RNAcentral describes it as "partial 16S ribosomal RNA". It matches the Rfam family "Bacterial small subunit ribosomal RNA", at positions 524 to 776 of the family's 1533-position model. The record is from RNAcentral.
UACGGGGGGUGCAAGCGUUAUCCGGAUUUACUGGGCUUAAAGGGUGCGUAGGUGGGUAAGUAAGUCAGUGGUGAAAUCUCCGGGCUUAACCCGGAAACUGCCAUUGAUACUAUUUAUCUUGAAUACUUUGGAGGUAAGCGGAAUAUGUCAUGUAGCGGUGAAAUGCUUAGAUAUGACAUAGAACACCAAUUGCGAAGGCAGCUUACUACACAGUCAUUGACACUGAGGCACGAAAGCGUGGGGAUCAAACAGG